This 336-nucleotide unclassified non-coding RNA is filed under the name Hevea brasiliensis (rubber tree). The record is from RNAcentral. Lineage: Eukaryota; Viridiplantae; Streptophyta; Magnoliopsida; Malpighiales; Euphorbiaceae.
AUGUCAAUCCUUGAUCGCCGACCAGUAUGUGUUUCAAAUAUCAUGCGUUGUUUUUCAUGUAUAUCACAAAAGAUAUAUAUUUGCUUAUAAGUUUUUAGGGAUGUGCAUGAUAAUUUGUGCCAGUCUCUAUAUUCAUGUGAUCUAUGUGACUCAGAUUGAUGUGUGAACAAGGGACAACCAUAUCUGGGAUUAGAAGUCCUUCUUCUGUUAAAUUCCGUUGAGAAAGGGUUGUAUUAUAAGAAGAUACAAAAUGUUCUACUCUGUUGGUGUACUAAAUGUUUUGUAAUUUCAAUUGGCUUUUGCUCUUAUCAGAUAGAAUCUGCUCUUCCAACUCUG